GAGAAUGUGGGAGAAGAAGAAAAGAAGAAAAUGUAUGGAACAGGAAGAAAAGAACGUGAAAAAGAACUUGACUUCUUUCCAAAUAAAAUAAAAUUGAAACUAAUAAAUAUUUCUACUUUUAAAUAAAAAAAACAAAAUAAAAAAAUAGUCCCUCAAAACACUAUUGAGGACUCGAACCAAAGACCCAAAGGCACACUAACACACUACCAACCACCAGACCAGUAGGCCCAUUCUGACAUUAAAACAUAACAACAAAC
RNAcentral lists this long non-coding RNA (257 nucleotides) under Gossypium raimondii (Peruvian cotton). Its description in RNAcentral is "long non-coding RNA (GRAI_LNC001332)". Lineage: Eukaryota; Viridiplantae; Streptophyta; Magnoliopsida; Malvales; Malvaceae. The record is from RNAcentral.